This 483-nucleotide ribosomal RNA is filed under the name uncultured bacterium. RNAcentral's name for it is "partial 16S ribosomal RNA". It matches the Rfam family "Bacterial small subunit ribosomal RNA", at positions 30 to 506 of the family's 1533-position model. The record is from RNAcentral.
AUUGAGCGCUGGCGGCAGGCCUAACACAUGCAAGUCGAGCGGAUGAAGGGAGCUUGCUCCUGGAUUCAGCGGCGGACGGGUGAGUAAUGCCUAGGAAUCUGCCUGGUAGUGGGGGAUAACGUCCGGAAACGGGCGCUAAUACCGCAUACGUCCUGAGGGAGAAAGUGGGGGAUCUUCGGACCUCACGCUAUCAGAUGAGCCUAGGUCGGAUUAGCUAGUUGGUGGGGUAAAGGCCCACCAAGGCGACGAUCCGUAACUGGUCUGAGAGGAUGAUCAGUCACACUGGAACUGAGACACGGUCCAGACUCCUACGGGAGGCAGCAGUGGGGAAUAUUGGACAAUGGGCGAAAGCCUGAUCCAGCCAUGCCGCGUGUGUGAAGAAGGUCUUCGGAUUGUAAAGCACUUUAAGUUGGGAGGAAGGGCAGUAAGUUAAUACCUUGCUGUUUUGACGUGACCAACAGAAUAAGCACCGGCUAACUUCGU